GAGACUUCAGUGAUCGAUGCAAUGGGAGCUUUGCUACCAUCACCUUUUUUGGGUUAUUCAAAGCUUCGGUUGAUCUGGUUGACGUCAGCAAAUCAGAUGUUUAUAAUGAAAAGCUAGAAAGGGUUCACAAGCUGCUGCUGCUGCAAGUGAAAUGAAGCUGUGAUCUGGUUCUUGUUUGCAAAUCAGAUGAUUUGUACCAUCAUUGGAGCGUGGGUUCAAAGCUGCUGGAAGUGUGGAACGGGUGGAAUGAAGAGAUGCUGUGGGGGGCUUUAAGAGAUUCAAC
RNAcentral lists this unclassified non-coding RNA (283 nucleotides) under Hevea brasiliensis (rubber tree). The record is from RNAcentral. Lineage: Eukaryota; Viridiplantae; Streptophyta; Magnoliopsida; Malpighiales; Euphorbiaceae.